CAAAUGUGACGUAAGCAAUCAUUACCAAGUGAAUCACUUUAUGUGAAUAUCCACACUUUCACGUCAAUAUUGACAUGUCAUAACAUGCUUUGUUUUUUAUGCAUUUUAAACAGGUCAAAUGGAGUGGUGCCUAUCAAGAGGGGGCUGGAUUGACACUAGGGGAGGAGGUAGAGCAGGUCAAUGCCUUCCUCUCUCGGAUAGCAGUGACCACCAAACACAUGUCCAAAGCAGGACGCACAGACAUGCUCACCCUCUUGGCCAUGCGCUGGAAUCAGCAAAAGACUGACAACUUGGCCACCUCACUGUCCCGCAGAUAUCUGAGGACCACAAAAGCUCUGGAUGCCCAAAAGCGGAACAUGGAGUCCAUGAAGACCGAAUUGGACGUCACAGAGAACCAGA
Long non-coding RNA from Gadus morhua (Atlantic cod), 399 nucleotides. RefSeq lists it as uncharacterized. The transcript has 3 exons. The record is from RefSeq and is a predicted model, not a curated record. Lineage: Eukaryota; Metazoa; Chordata; Actinopteri; Gadiformes; Gadidae.